CCCGGUGGUUCAGAGCGGAGGGGUUCCACCCGUUCCCAUUCCGAACACGGUCGUGAAAACCUCCAGCGCCGAUGGUACUGCCCUGGCAACGGGGUGGGAGCGUAGGCCACUGCCGGGA
This 118-nucleotide ribosomal RNA is filed under the name Limnochordaceae bacterium. Lineage: Bacteria; Bacillati; Bacillota; Limnochordia; Limnochordales; Limnochordaceae. The record is from RNAcentral.